UAUGGUAGAGGUUGCACCGAUUAUGAGUAUCCCAGUGGACAUGACAGACAUGGAUGAAGGUGGGAAAAAGGAAGUGGUGCCGAAGCGGGCAGAAUGGUCUGUGGACUGUCCGACUGGGCGUAUGGUUAAUAGCUGUGCGACUGUCAUCAUACUAGAUUUGAUGGAGAGCUACUUGA
Molecule: non-coding RNA, 176 nt
Filed under: pig gut metagenome
Description: Lysine riboswitch
Rfam family: Lysine riboswitch aptamer
About the family: Riboswitches are metabolite binding domains within certain messenger RNAs that serve as precision sensors for their corresponding targets. Allosteric rearrangement of mRNA structure is mediated by ligand binding, and this results in modulation of gene expression. This family includes riboswitches that sense lysine in a number of genes involved in lysine metabolism, including lysC.
Source: RNAcentral